GCCGGCGUAGCUCAGUUGGUUAGAGCGUGGGACUCAUAAGCCCGAGGUCAGUGGUUCGAAUCCACUCGCCGGUA
RNAcentral lists this transfer RNA (74 nucleotides) under bacterium. RNAcentral's name for it is "tRNA-Met". It matches the Rfam family "tRNA". From Rfam's summary of the family: Transfer RNA (tRNA) molecules are approximately 80 nucleotides in length. Their secondary structure includes four short double-helical elements and three loops (D, anti-codon, and T loops). The record is from RNAcentral.